UUGUAGGCUUUGAGCAUCAGGAGGAUUAGCACUGCUAUUCCGAUUCAGAGAUAAGGUUAAACGACAGGCUUUGCCUAGACAGGUGGGCUUAUUUUUCAAAUGUAUGAUUUAGCUAUUGAGCUUAAAUAUUCGUGAAAUAUAAACUGUUUAUCCAAUAAAAUAUUUUUGUGCACUCUACCAUGUUUAAGGCUCGUACAGUUAAUCAAUUGAGGUUCUCUUAUGACCUAACACGUUGUUUGAGAAUUGUGUACACUUGUUAGCUGACUCGGUGGGUUGAUCUCCAUCGGGCACUAACCAGAGGCGUUAUAAG
RNAcentral lists this long non-coding RNA (310 nucleotides) under Salvia miltiorrhiza (redroot sage). Its description in RNAcentral is "long non-coding RNA (SMIL_LNC001067)". Lineage: Eukaryota; Viridiplantae; Streptophyta; Magnoliopsida; Lamiales; Lamiaceae. The record is from RNAcentral.